This 99-nucleotide transfer RNA is filed under the name Agromyces bauzanensis. RNAcentral's name for it is "tRNA-Asp". Lineage: Bacteria; Bacillati; Actinomycetota; Actinomycetes; Micrococcales; Microbacteriaceae. The record is from RNAcentral.
GACCGUCGUGGCCGACGCCGUCGAGCGGUUCGCGCCCGUCGUGAGCGACCCCGAGAGCAUCGAGCUGCGCUGGGUCCGGUUCGACUCCGUCGGCGAACU